CCUACGGGUUGCACCAGUGGGGAAUAUUGCACAAUGGGCGCAAGCCUGAUGCAGCCAUGCCGCGUGUAUGAAGAAGGCCUUCGGGUUGUAAAGUACUUUCAGCGGGGAGGAAGGCGAUAAGGUUAAUAACCUUGGUGAUUGACGUUACUCGCAGAAGAAGCACCGGCUAACUCCGUGCCAGCAGCCGCGGUAAUACGGAGGGUGCAAGCGUUAAUCGGAAUUACUGGGCGUAAAGCGCACGCAGGCGGUCUGUCAAGUCGGAUGUGAAAUCCCCGGGCUCAACCUGGGAACUGCAUCGAAACUGGCAGGCUAGAGUCUUGUAGAGGGGGGUAGAAUUCCAGGUGUAGCGGUGAAAUGCGUAGAGAUGUGGAGGAAUACCGGUGGCGAAGGCGGCCCCCUGGACAAAGACUGACGCUCAGGUGCGAAAGCGUGGGGAGCAAACAGGAUUAGAUACCCCAGUAGUC
This 464-nucleotide ribosomal RNA is filed under the name uncultured bacterium. RNAcentral describes it as "bacterial SSU rRNA". It matches the Rfam family "Bacterial small subunit ribosomal RNA", at positions 338 to 795 of the family's 1533-position model. The record is from RNAcentral.